Non-coding RNA from Vicugna pacos (alpaca), 2699 nucleotides. The record is from RefSeq and is a predicted model, not a curated record. NCBI's taxonomy places the organism in Eukaryota, Metazoa, Chordata, Mammalia, Artiodactyla, Camelidae.
GAGCUAGAUGAAUUUUUUUUACAUACAUAUAGAUCUAUAUAUAUAUAUAUUUCUUAAAUGAAGCUGCUUUCUGGUGUUUUAUUUCUCAAAAUCCCUUUGUGCCCCUCUUUGCACUGAUCCCAAGGCAGCUCCUGAUCUGUGACUUGGGGCCAGGCUGUAAUGUUCUUGAGAUGGAGUUUGGCUUUCGUUCAGAUUUCAGUUCUGUGUUGGCUUUGGGACCAGCAGAAAGCAAAAAAUCUGGCUGCCUUGCAGGACUUUCGAGGCCUCCAAGCUGUGUUUCUAUUCAGGACCCUCUGGCUUUGUUCUGGGAGGUAGUUUGGUCUCUCCAAAGCCAGAGGUUAUCGGGGAAGGCUGAAUAUUCACACCUGACUCACAGUUACACGUCCUCAGUUACCUCUGGCUGGUUCUGCAAGUUCACGCCGGACACCAGGCCUGCCACCUCCUCCCCCGUGGAGCUGGCUCAGGGAGCAGCUGCAGCGGGCCUUUGUGCCUGGGCUGGGAACCGCUGUGUUUUCCCCGUGUCCCCAGCCGUGAGGCAGCUGGUGCGCACUCCAGCUGGGCUGCAGGCAGCUCUGGGAUGGCACAGGGCAGGCACUCCUUGACAGGCUGCUGUGAAACACACGGUCCCCUUGGCGCCCUGGCCGGCCUCUCUGGGACUAGUCCUCUUCCUGACCGGUGGGUGGGGAUAGCUGCUGACACAGGAAAGAGAGGAGAUCCCAGGUGAAGCUUAGGAAAUCACCAGAGCCAACUCGGAUUCACUGGGGAAGUUUUCGGAAAGAAAUCGUUGUUCUGCUUGUGAGAAAGGCCUGGUGUGUCCACCAUGGGCAGUCCCACAGCAUCUCAAAGCCAAGGGCCGUCAGCGGCUGUUGCUUCCCUUUCUCAGGCUUUGGGGAAGGGAGUCUCCUCUGCUCCCGCUUGGCUCCAUUUUAAAGAGGAGCUCAACAUGGAGGCACUGGGUCUUUUCUCCCCUUUCCUUGAUGGACCAGUAGUGCUCCUUGCAAUCUCACCUUUUAAAUUCCAGGUUGAUCUCCUUCCCUGAUCAGACAUCCACGUGGCCUCUUUAAGAAGCAAAGAAUAGCACCUACCAUGUGCCGGGCCCUGCGUUAGGCACUUUUAUACAUAUACCCUCUUUAGGAUGAGACUAAGAGAUGAGGACUUCCCUCAUUAAAGGCCCCCAUGUAAGGGAUACACAAAAGCACUUGGAGGUGAGAAGGUCUUUCUCCAAAGAUCCAAGGCAAGAUUGCCUUUGAUCCGAGGUUUGUUCUCAAAGACCCACCCCUUACAAUAUCCUCCCAUCUCUCAACUUCUUUGCCCUGGGAUUUGCUCCUUUGCAUUCUUCAGAUGGUUGGAAGGGUAACCUGAGUCCUUAUAGAAUUUGUGGACCAAUAGGAUAUGUGGUGUGUGUACCUUUCUUUCGAAAACUGAAGUAAAGGGGUCUUGCUAUUUUCUGCUUGUUGAGUCUUCUUGGCAUUCAUCUUAAAAGCCAGCAUCUCACUAUUUAUUGACAAGUUCUGUGUGUGUGUGUGUGUGUGUGUGUGUAUACAUUUCUAGGUGUUUCUAGGCCCAUGUCCUCCUGCAGCUUUUAAAAAAGAAACCCAGUCAUCCCACUACUAAAUUGACACCUUCUCAUGCUUCUAGUAUUUUGGCCAUUCAUCAACAGAGGGUUUUAAUUUUCCAAUGCUGACAUGUUCAGGAGGAGCUGGGUCAAAUUUUGAGCGGGGUAUGGGAACAGGAGGCGGAGAAGAAAUUGACAUUUAUUUUAUUAUUUAUUUUAAAUGUUUACAUCUUUGUGUUGUACCACGCCCAAAUAGAAAAAGAUAGCAUUAAAAUGCUCAGUUCCUCUCUCCCUCUCUUUCUUCUUUACAAUUUAAAAAAAAAUUUAGGCUAAUGAUGCUUUUUGUUUGUUUCUAAAAUGAUUUGUGACUUGUGCUGUAUAAACUGUAUAAAAAGGUUCUGUUUUUAAAGAUGGACUGUCAUUCCUUUGGGGACAGUAGUCACCAAGAAGUCUACAUUGUAAGAGAACAUAAGGAAAGAUCCUGCCCUGUUCCUCAAAAAUUGUUUUCUCUGUAUGAUUAAAAGUUUAUUCCAUUUAUUUUAGUUUGUGGUUACUUGAUGUCAAGGAAGAAAAUUUUCACCUUUGUAUAAAGAAUAGGUAUCAGGGUGUUUUUUCCUGCAGUGAGAGAUGUAUAUAUAGUAUUUUGGUAUAUAGUGGACAAUCAUAAGCUUUGUGCAUCUGUAUUUGAGGUAUGUCGAUGAUGUGGAGUAAAGACUGCUAUAAAAUCCUGAGGCAAAAAAAAAAGUUGUACAAGAUUCCUAUAACUUGAUGGGGAAUUUAAUUAUCUUUCUGAGCACCUUUUUUUCCUUUUUUUAAAGUAUUGGUGAAAUGGUCCCAUUGGAAAGACUUCUAAAUAGGCCUCUCCAGGCAGGACCAUGAGCUCAAAAAUCUUUGUAUAGUUUUGAAAAUUGAGGAGUAGCUUUGCUCUGAAGCAUCUCUGGUGGUGUUCUGUUGUUUUGUUUUGUUAUUUUACUGUAAUACAAGCCUACAGUAUUUGCACUAAAGAAAGCUUGUUAGAAAAAGCUUGCUGCUAUGGAAGAAAGAACAUACUAGAACUUUUUUUUCCUUUUUCCUUUUUUUUUUUUUGGUUAGCUUUUCCACUUUCAAUUGAGUAGCAUUUUGUAGAAUAAAAUGAAUUAAGAUU